UGCAUUGUUGCCCCACCGGAA
Molecule: non-coding RNA, 21 nt
Filed under: Caenorhabditis elegans
Lineage: Eukaryota; Metazoa; Nematoda; Chromadorea; Rhabditida; Rhabditidae
Source: RNAcentral